UAAAUGUUAUGGACUACAAUGCACAUAACCCUUUACGAGUCUACCAGUGAGCUCUUCUACUUCGAUUAUUAUCCCCAAUUCUUUCAAAUAUUAGGGUUUCCGCUUUCCACCUGGCCCUUCAAUUUCAGUUGAAAUUUACGUAAGAAACGACAGAUCAAGUGUCCAAUAUGGAGCCGAGACAGAUGCAGAAGUCCUGGUUUAUCCAAGUGGUUCAGAAGCAGAGGCGAAUCUUCAUACCAUGAUACACCUAAUUUUUGUCUGAACGGUUUGAAUAUUUCACCUUUUUCUCUCGUUCUUUCUAAAAUUCAGUCAUGGUGAAAUCCAAGAAAGCAUCUUCUCCCCAUUCUGCAGUAACAUCAAUGCCUUCUUCCCAAGAAGUUGCACUUCGUGUGGCUUCUUGCAAUCUUCGGGCAGACCUUAACCUGGAGAAGUUUGACCCUACUCUCCAUAUAAUGAUUGAGUUUUUAAAGAGUCAUCCUAUUCAUAAACCCUUGACUAAAUCAGUCAAGUUUCCUUUAAACAUCAUUCAUAUGGCAUACUGCACUGCUGUUUAUAACUCUAAGGAAGAGUACAUUGAGUUCAACAUCAGUAAAGAUCACACUACCAAACUCUGUAAGGCUGAGUUCCUGAAAGCCAUUGGCCUUCCAGAGAGCAAGGAAAAAAAGACGUUAUAUGAACCCACAAAUGAAGAACUCUUCGAUGUAUUUGAUCAAAUGGGGUAUUUACCUCCAAGGCUUGAAAUGACCCCAGACUUCAAGAAAGGUAAGCUUCCAGCCAUAUGGCAAUUUCUGGUGCACAUCAUUUUGCGUUGCCUUACAGGAAAGACUGGAGGAACUGACACACUAAGUAGGGUUUUACUUGUCUUUCUUUUUGGUCUUUACACUGGGAAAGAAGUGGACUUUGGAACCACUAUCUGGAAGGAUUUUGCUAGUUAUGUGUUUCCAAAGAAGAAGGAUAUUCCUUGUGCAAGGUUUUGGGCACUUGCACUUCAAAGGGGGUAUAAGAAGCUGAAGUUCCCAUUACCUGAAGGAGAUGAGAUGUUCUCUCCUCGCGCCUUAUUGAGGUAUUCUAUCCCAGAUCAAUCUGAAUUUGGGAAGGUUGCUCGUCUCCCUGAAGCAAUGCUUCAAUAUAUUGAAAAGGACUCCAAAGUUCUCAUCGGACAUAUAGAGGAAACGGCUCCUCCACAAUCGGGACACCCUAUCCAAUCCUCACAACAUAUUUCCAGUCCUACACAACAAAAGAAAAAUGGCUUGAAGGUAAAGAAGACAACCAAAAGAAAAGGUGAGACCAUUCCUGCCCCUCAAGCCAAAAGAAAACCCCCAAAAUCCAUCCCAACCUCUCAAAAGGUGAAUGAUGUUGAAAAAAGAUCUGCCCUUAGGUCACAAUCUCCCAUCUCUUCAUCCUCUCAAGAAUAUUGGGAUAUAAGACAUACACAACCCCCUUCCUCUCAAAAUGACGAUGGGGGUGUUGAAAAAAGUCAAGAUCAAGGACCCCGAGGAAGACCAGCACACAGUUCCUUGCAAACAGGGGGAAUUGGAGCUUCUAAUGGCGAGGCAGAGGUGAGAACAUCAGAGAGUGAGAGUGUAAGGCAAACAAGAAAGCAGAGUGAAAGAAAAAUGUUAAGAAAGGCUGAGGCAAAGAAAGAAGAGGAGCGAAAGGAAUUAGUGAGAAUGUUGUGGGAGGAGCAACAAAAGAGGGAAGAGGAAGAGUGGGCCCGAACUUCUGCCAAACUUCUUGAGCAUGCCAUGUCUUUGGGCCCCUCUACAAAUAUUGGUGAGGAAUAUUCUGAAGACAUGGAAAAGGACUUUGUGUUUGCUGCUGCUGAUGGACUCAUCCAAGACUCUGAUUCAAACUCCAUUAUGGAGACACUCAAACCCUCCAAAUCUACUAUUUUCCUGGCAACUUCAGAAUCAGAAAGUCAGGAAGCUCCCAAAGGAGAGACCAACACUCUUCCUACCACCACUGUCACACAAACUAAAUGGAAGAAGAAGAAGUCCAAAUCUAUCUCCAGGGUGGGAUAUAAUUCCCUCAACCAGAAGCUAUCUGAGGUUCUAGAUUCUGUGAAGAAUAUCCCUCAAUCUGAGGAGGAAUUUGUCAGCAAGGAAGAGUUUGGGGAAAUGCAAAAGAUUAUCACAUCUUUAGCCCAGACUGUUCCUAAUCUUGAGGCAAGGGAAGAGACCCUUUGGGAAUCAAUUGUAAACUCUACUGCGGAUGCUUUGAGGGACAUGGAGCAGAAGAGGAUUGCUGACACAUGUAAAUAUUUAGAUCGAAUGGAUGAGGUGGAGAAAACGUUGAAGGAAAUUCAACAGUCGUAUGAUGACCUCAGCAACACCAUGGGCCACCAACAUGGAGAUGAGAUUGUCCGUAUAAGCGAGCAGCUCCGCGACUAUCGCAACAAAAAUAUCAUUGUUCAGGCUGUCUUGAUUAAAGUGAUGCAGUUUGCAGAUCAACUGCUAAGACCCUGCAAUGUAAGAUUUGAUGAAGUCCUGUUUGCCAUGCAGAAAGCUCAAAAGUCUAUGGAUGUACUUCCGAAGACUCUAUGCAAUGAUGAGCUAAGCAAACAGGUUCAACAAUCGUUCUUAAAAGUGUUUGAGCUUAUAGAGGACUUAAAAGGUUCAAUGGUCGAGGAUGAAACUGGAUUUUCCUCAACAAAAUGGGGAGAAGAUAAUAACGUGGUGAUAACAGAAACUUCUGAGGAAACACAUCCUCCUCAGAUAGAUGAGGCGUCCAAACCUCAACCACCUUCAAAGAUCACAAUUCCUCCCACUUCAUUUAUCACUCCUCCUGCCCAAACAGCUCCGGAGUUUCUUGAAACCACCAAAACUCCCAUCAUAGAUGAGGAUCAGCAACAUGCUUUAACUCCUUUGGUCUAUGUAAUCAGACAAUUGAAGGAUGAUGAACUCGUGCCCAAACAAACUACAGCUCCUCCCUCCUCCGAUGAGUAUCAGUGGGAUAUACCCAUGUCUCCAAAUGCACGAUAUUAUUCAGUCUUCAAACCACUACAUCCACACCUCUCAAGGGAAAUGCAAAUCCCAAUUGAGAUGAACCGACUAGAGGAGUUUUUCAAGGCUCAUGCUCAGCCCCCAAAAGAUGUAUGGUCUCUCCGGAGGAUCAUAAGAGUCUUAGGAUAUAAGAAGAGGUCUUUUCAGAAGGAAGAGUACUUUGGUUUUGAAGUGGUGCGAAGUGAUAACAAAAAAUAUUUCUUCUCUGAAGCCGAUUUUCCUAACCUUAAUCCCAACGACUUAUAUGUGAUUGGCAAACACUUCCAGAACAAACUACUCACUCAUCAACCUUCCCGAUUUCCCUUUCUCCAAAUCCAGAGAUUUCUAAGGUCUCUGGUCUCUGAUCUUGGCAGCAUUGAUGCAGAACAAUUUGAUAGCUUUGUGGAUAAUCCACCCGAAGAGAUGAACCAAGAUCUUGAAGGAAUUGAAAACAGACAUCGAGGACCUACCGAGGAUCCUGAACUUGGGAUCAUCUUCUCUAAUGAAAAGGGUAGUUUGAAGCUCUUUUUCCGAUUAAAACAGAAGCAUCGCUGCAAAACGGAGUUCCUUGAAAAGAUGAUCAAUCUUACUUUAAGGUCCAAUGCCUCUGCAGCUUUAAAGGUGAAGAUCAUUGAAGAACUAGAGUGGUGGGUUGCGGUUCGUAAGUGGAUCACGAGAGUAACAGACUUCGUGACAAACAAGAUCUGGACAUGAAUGUCUUUUUUGCAUUGAAAACUCUUGGCUUGCUGAGAUUGGAAGAUAUUGAACAUGAUAUCGUGAGUUGGAAGUUUACAACAGAUUCAUGUUGAUGAAGUUUGAAGAAGGGUGGUGAAGUAUGAAAGCUUCCCAAAAAACCACAACCUUUAGAUCAACAUUAUGUUCUUCUCACAAAUUACUGUAUGGAUGGAAUUGAUAAGGAAAUCUGCAAAGGAUCAUAAUGUUUUGAAAAUGAGGAAAGUCACAGGUUGCAAAUCAAGAAGAUGAAGAGAAAUGUGUUAUGUAUGAGAAUGUAUGAAUUUGCACAAAGUUAAGGGAGGCGAAAGUUCAAAUGUCGAGAAGAAACCAAGAAAGUCGAUCAACCGGGAUCAUAUUGUGGUGAACGAACUUUUGGUACGUGAUUACCUUAGCUCUGAUAGUUUAUACGACCUAUCAAAAUUUGAAGGUCGUUUUCGUAUUAGUAGAAAUGUAUUCCUACGUAUAGCUAGAGAUUUGAAAAACAAUUAUGAGUUUUUUCAAUUGAGAUGAGAUAUUAGAGGUAAACGUGAUUUUAGUACAUUACAAAAAUGCACGACAACUCUUAGACAAUUGGUGUACGGCAUAGUCGCAGACGCUUCAAAUGAAUAUUUGAAAAUGUCUGCGAGGGCCGGUUGAUAAUGCACAGAUCUUUUUUGUGAGUA
This is an RNA transcript of Lactuca sativa (garden lettuce), 4378 nucleotides long. RefSeq lists it as uncharacterized. The record is from RefSeq and is a predicted model, not a curated record. Lineage: Eukaryota; Viridiplantae; Streptophyta; Magnoliopsida; Asterales; Asteraceae.